This 8683-nucleotide long non-coding RNA is filed under the name Xyrichtys novacula (pearly razorfish). The record is from RNAcentral. Lineage: Eukaryota; Metazoa; Chordata; Actinopteri; Labriformes; Labridae.
UUUGGGAGCUGAAAUCACAGUUCGUUUCUACUGAUGCAGAUUUUUGUUUUAUGUUUCAUUUAACGACCCAGACUCUGAAUGCAUGAAGCGGCUUUUUAUUAGGCUUUUGGAGUGCUUGUAAAGCUUUAAUUCCAGUUUGUGCGAGCUGUCACACACAGACUGAGAUUUUAAAAGCUGCAGCAAAUGACUCCAGUUUUAGCCGGGCUAAAAGACACAGUCGGCUAAAUUAAAAGUGCGGGAGAAAAAUAACAAUGAUAGAAAUCGUAAAAGCGUUUCCACUCCUGUUGUUUUGAGCUCUUUCCUCUCCUCUCUCCUCAGUUUGGUUUGGUGCAGCAGGUCACAGAUCAACAACUCUAUCAAAUACCUCCCACCUAUAUUUCAUCCGUUUCUGUGGGAUAAUGGACAGUAAAAACUUUCCUCUAAGAGGGGCAGGGAGCAGGUGCAGUUCAGGAGCUGCCAGUUGCCCAUUCCUGGAGAAGCGCCGGGGUCAAAGGUGAAGCAGGAAAUGUCCAAGAGCUCAAACCUCACUAUCAUUAGAGCCAGAUGAGUCUCUGCAGGCUGAUAGGAGGCAGACAGCCAAAGGAGAGCCUUGACCCUUCUCUGUGGUGACUAAUGGUUCAGACAUUGCUCACUAUAUCUCCAGGGCAGGAGUGUGUCACCCAGUCCAGAAGACCUGAGGGUGCACCGCCUGGAGCCCGGACGACCUCCGAUUAAAAUAAGAAUUAAAACUCUUCUAUUCCUGAUUCAUAAAAUCAAUCACGGUCUUUGUAAACACGCUGCAGUUUUUUUGUUUUUGAGGAGUUUUUGUUUUCUUGGCUUUAACUCCAGUCUUUAUCUGCUCAACCGCAGGGAUUUAACUGCAAAUCUGAACAUCCCUAUUCAGCGCCGUAGCUGCAGGUAAAACACACUAUCGCUGCAGUACAAAGUAGAGCGCUAAAUGAGCUGGAAGACAGAAGGGGGUUAAGGAAAUGCAAAACAUUUGGGACACACCAGUGUGUGUGCGAAGCUUAACAGAUAAACAAAGAAGAAGAAAAAUAUUGUUUUUCACGUAUAAGACUGAAUAAAAGAUGCCAAAGCUGUGCUCUGAGGGAUGACUGUGCCGGUCCUUCACUCUUAGUUCUCAGACGGAAAAGAAAAAAUAUUGUAUUGAUGAAAUCUUGAAUAGAUUGGAUUUACAAUCAUGGUUUCAAAUAACAUUUCUGUGCAACCAGAGCAAGUUUUUUUUUUUCUUAAAGGAGAGACGGAAACAGAAAAUUCAGCAAAGUUGUGAUUUUUUUAGAGUUAUACUGAUGGAUAAAAAGGACUUAUUAACAAAGAGGAUUAGGGCCACAAGAAGAAAAAUAAUCAUUACAGGAGGAAGGGAGAUUUUCUUCAAUUUCCAUUUCGAGAUUAAAGUUGAAAUUUCAAGAUUAAAGUCGAUAUUUAAAAGAGACAAAAUGUCGACUUAAUUCAUGCUGGUUUUUAAACCCGAAAUUUUGAUUUAUUUAAUCCAGAAAUUUCAACAUUAUUCACGACAUUUUGACAUUUUGACAUUUUGACAUUUUGAAAUCCCGAAAUUUCAACUUUAAUCUCAAAAAUUCAAUUUUUUAUCUCCAAAUUUCGACUUUAAUCUUAAAAUUUUUUAUUUUUAAUCUCAAAAUGUUUACUUAAACCUUAAAAUUUCGACUUAAACCUCAAAGUUUUCAACUUUAUCUUGAAAUUUUGACUUUAAUCAUGAAAUUUCGACUUUUAUCUCCUUCCUGUAAUUAUUUUUUUUCUCUUCAUGUGGCCCUAAUCCUCUUUCGUACAUUGUACAUGAGAUAAUCUAAUCUGACUGCUGGAUGAUAUUCACAUGCACUAACUCAGCUGACCCACAGACCUGAACAUGAAGCCAGUCGAUGAUUUUUACAGCACAACAUCAGAGAAGUGAGCGUCCAGGAUAUUUAAAUAAAUUCAAAAAAAUAAUAAUAAAAUGAAUAUUUGGUUCACAUUUUCACCAAAUCAGGAAACAAACUGCAGAAAAUAAAAGUGUUUUUUUUCCCCACCAGACUGGAAACUCGUGGACACACUCCGACUCCUGCAGUCGCUUCAUUUUUCACUUCCACAGACAGGUUCCCUCUUGACACCUGUUCCUUCGUCGGCCUUUUCUUUUGUUUUGUUUUGUCGUUCGGCAUCCUCAUAAAUUUAACAGUUUUGUCUCUUGUUCACCUUUUCGCGCUCUCUGCCAUCCAUCCAUCCACAGAUUUCAGGUUCUCCACCCAGAAGUUCUUGUAACCAUGUAUUGAUUUGUUCUGCUGCUGCUGUGGGGGAUCUUAUCACUCUCCAUCUGGGGUCGUCAAAAGGUGAAAUAUAUUUGUUUUUAGGGGCCGACGAAAUGCGUGAAUUAAGAUUUCUCUGUGAGAGACAGGAGCGUCGAGAUAAGAGCGACAAAAACACAAAACGGAAGUUAAUUUUAAUGCAAAUGUCACGAGAAUCAAUUAACGACAGAGCUGCGAGUUCAGGUACAGCGCCGCCUUGUUUUUUUGUUUUUUUUUCUUUCCUCUCAAAUCGAGCUGUUAUCUCUGCGCACUGACAGAUGCUUCCUCCUGGCAAAAGACGCCGAUUCCUGCAGGAUGCACACAAACACACACGCGAACACACAAAAGAGCAGCGAUGUUUAUAAAUGAUACUGGCGUGAUUGAGUCACAGGUUAGGAGGAGGGGGACUUUAAAAAAACUCGAUUAGGUGCAUGUGUAGCGUGGAGAUGAUUCUGCAGGAGGAACUGCAGGCUAAUGCUUUCUACAAAAGGGUCACAAAUGGAGGAGAGGAGAGAGCGAAGAGGUGGGCCCUGAUGCCGCUGAUUGGCCUCAAUCAUUGCAGGUGAUUGGGAGACUGGAUGAUGGAGGGCUUGCAGGAGAGAGAGGGAGCACUGCUACUGCUCCUCCUGCCUCAUAUAGAUUCAUUUAUUUGUGUCAGGGACAUUUAGCUCACUGAGUGGAUUCAGUGGGUGUACAGAGGCGGGCGUACAGAGACCAAUUUGGGUUGCGUUUUGCAGGAUUAGGGCGACGUCGCUCGCUGUCAAUACCACAAGCAGAAUAAAGCUAAACUGACAAGAAAGGGAGCGUUUACUGUGCGUGGAGACGUCAAUAACCCGCUCAGAGUUUGCACCGUUUCAGCCAUUAUGUCGAACCUUUUGGUAAUGAUCGGCUAAUUUGCAGAACAAGGAGGUCGCAUGCCUGAUGGAGUACAAGCAGUACACAAAAUGUUGCUAACAGAGCAGAGCUGCUGCAGACAGUGACCUUGAUAUUGUCCGCGGAGACGGCGUCAGCAGGCAGGAUACACAACCCGCCCAGUCACUGCGCGGCUAAUGAGCGGAUGCAUUGCUCAGCUUUAUCUUCUUAAUUAAUGAUUGAGACGUGACUCUGUGAGUUCCUCCUGGAUAUGCAUGCGUCAGCUCAGCGGGGACGUUAACUGUAGCGACUCACGGGGGGAUUGAGAUUCAGAAACAAAAAAGCAAUUAUCAGGUGAGGCUCUGAAGUGGAGAAAUGAGAAAAAAAAGGUCCUGUUUCCUCAUUGAAGUGUAAAUCCGUGACUUGAUUAAUUUUGUUUGUGCUCAAACAAAAUUUGCACCGUUGUGUUUAGCUCAUUUCACUGCACAUAUCCCAAUUACAAAGGGAGCAGGGCUUGUAAACAAAAAUCACAUGGACCCGCAUGGAAAUUAUUUAUCUGAAAUUAUUGCAAUAAAAUCAGACUGAGUCUGACAUUUUCUAUAAUUAUCUCCUCGUGAUAGAAAUAACUCAGUAUGAUGUUUACAGCCGGGGAAAAAAGAGCCGUAAUUGUGCUUUCAGGCUGACUCAGGCUAGCACAUUUCAAUGGGCUUAUUACUCUGUAUCCCAAACACAAACACAGAAUCAUUUCUCUUCUGUAUUUAUGUGUUUUUAUUAUUAUGAAUGAUUAUUGUGUUCAGUUCAAACACAAAAUAAGAUGAUUUUUCUUCUUUAGCUGCAUGAACACUAAAAAAGAGAGAGGUAAAUGUUGAAGAAACAGGUGCUCUCAGGUAGAAACUCAAGGUUAAAGUCUUCUUAUAGGAUAUGCAGAUGAGCCAUAUGUCUUCUCAAAGGUUAAGUGACUCAUGUACACAUAUGGUGGAGGUGAGGUGUCAUGAGGGGGUGGAGCGGGAAACAUGAAGCCCAAGUCUGGUUGAUGUUUGACUUACUUAUUUUUAGGCACCCCGUUUAAUACAGCAGAUUUUUCAGGUGUUACUUUGCCUUAUCAGAUAAUUGAAAGAGGAAACUGAUAGUAUAAAGGGAAAUUGGACUUGUUACACUACAGUUACAGGCGUUUGUUUCAAUAUCCUCUGCAUAACGGGUUUCCAAAUCCUCACAACUACACAGGUGGGUUUUCCCGCCCAGAAAACAGACCAAAUGGAGACAUUUUUAAAACAGUUCUACAACUGAUUACAGGAAACGCUCCGUCAUACAAAUGGAGCUGCAACCCAAACAUGUCAACAAUAGUCAAUAGUCAAUAGGGUGACCAUAUGUCCUCUUUUAACCGGACAUGUCCUCUUUUUUAGUGGCUUUGGGAGUUUAUGAAAUCCUUCAAAUGUCCGGGGUUUUGUCAGAAGUUUUGAGUUUGUGUCGCAUGGACUGACUGAGUUAGCGGCACGUAAAAAACACUCAAUCCAACCCAACCCGAAACACUCUCAGAAUUAACUAGGCGUGACUCCGCCCCCCCGCAAUCGUGUCCUCACCCUAAAAUAAAAGCUAUUUAGUUCAAUACAUGCUCCAGAAACUUUGAUUUGGCUUAAAGAAAAGACACCAGAAUUUUUAGUGUAUCUAACAAGUUCCUGAUAUUUGUAGAACCGUGGACCUGAGGUGGUCUAACUCUAACCCACUUUGAGCCAGGACUGUCACGCCAGGUAAUCAGGAAUGUUAUCAUGUGAGAUUGCUCUACUAUCCUGAUGUAAACAAGCGCAGAUGUUUCAUGGCGCUUCGUGGUGUGGUUUGGCGAGGCAUCGGCGACCUUCAUGUCGCUUCUCUUGGACUACAAAUGACCUUUGGAGGAGCAAGGGUUUUAACUGUCUAUAUAUUUCCGUAUUUUUCAGGUGAUAAGGCGCAUUAAGCAUUUGCACGAUGAUUGGUUUCUUGUUGCGCGUACUCCAGGCCAGGGCGGUCUUACAUGACUGCACUUCGAGUUUAGACAUGACAGUCAGGCAGUCUCGUAGACUGCUCAGGGGUCCUGUUACGGGGUCAAUCAGGUAGUGAAUUAGCGUAACGUAAUGCUCCGAUUAUCUAAUAAGCAGAGCGGCUUUGGUGCUAACCAAGAUCGUACUUACACAUUUCGACAGAUUGCGCAUUCUACCACAUAAAAUCUGUCAGUAAGCACAACAAGUAAUCAUUCGUAAGGCGCGCUGGAUGAUCAGGCGCACUGUCAAUGUUUGAGAAAAUUUCAGGAUUUUAAGUGCGCCUUAUAGUCCGAAAAAUACUUUAUAUCAUCAACCCUGAAAAAGUUACCCAACCAGGUGUGGAAAUUUAGUCUACCUGCGAUUUGGUGCAGAAAUAGCAAAGUCAACUUCUUGGUUCUUGGUCAGCGCCAUAAACCCAACGGUAAGCCACGCUAUUUAAAAAAAAAACCCAAAUGACUGUGCUGAGGUCUAGACGGUCACUUUUCCUGUCAAACAGUUUAAAGCUUCCAGAAGUUUCUCCGUAACGACACCUGAGUCUCAACCAGCUACGGCAUGACCUGAAUGGAGUCUGUCUUUGUGUUGUUUUAAAACGAGUACAAGUUUUAUUUCCUUAAUAUUGCGUUGAAUUAAGGUUAAACGAGGCGCAGGUAAAUGCUCCUCUUUUGCUUUUCACUCCUCUCAUCAGAAGUGUUGCAGAUGCAGGCCAGAGCCGCAGCUCCGUGCCAAGUGUUCUCGCCAUACUCCUGGCUGCUGCAGCGUUUAUUCACUGGAGUGAAAAUCGACAGCAUGCUCAGUUUCAGCCGCUCUGACUGCUCCUUUUAAAGAAGAGACUCUGCCAGUUUGUCACUUCCAGGAUGAGGACGGGUUCUUAUUAAGCAUGAGGUGUUGUUUCCUAGUGAAGUGUGGCAGAAUUAACAAAACACCAGACGAUGUCUCACAUUUAACAGUUUGAUUUUUUUCAAGUAUACCUUUAAUUGGAUUCUUACUUUCUUUUAAUACAAAGAGUCCAGAAAACUAAAAUAAAAUGAACAAACGAUCUUUUUCCUCUACAAAUGCAUGUAACCACAAACCUCCUUCUCUUUUGUUUCCAAGUUUUUGUUGCCCGGGGUGAAUCAGCCUCUAAGAAGAAACAGGAUUAUAAAUAGAAACAAUAUGAAAACAUAAUGAUAUUCAAGACAGUGGUUUAGCAGCGGAAAUAAGUGCUGAAUUGCAGUUCUUAAUUAUAGAUCACCGUGGCACUGAAAUAAACUAAAUAAAACUCUGAGAGGAGCAGAGGAAAAAGAAAAUAGUCGAGAAAUUGAACUGAGAGAGUCGCCACAGUUUAGUGUUUUCUUCUGGACUGAAAAACCGGAGAAAUCGAUCGCUCAGUGGGUAGAGCAUCCAUUUCCCGACUGGGUGGGUUGGGGUAUGCUACUCGCUCCGGUGGCCAAUUCGGACAUGCUACAUACUACCUCGACUACUACUUCGACAACUACUUGGCAAUUCAGACGCAGCCAGGGGCAAGGCGGACAUUUUCAGGGCGCUCUAAAUGCAAUCCGCAAAGCCGUGAGUUCCUAUACGUGACUUUAAGAAUGUUAAGAAUAUGGAUAGUGAUGUUUUGUUAAAAACGGUGUUAAGAACCAAGUUUAUUUAUUUGUAAGAUAAAAGAAACAUACUAGAAUCCCAAGUGUGUGUUUUAUGUCUCAUUGAGGUAGAAAUAAGGAUGCUGACUAUUUUUUAUUGUUUAUUUACAGUUUAAUGAAGAUGUGUGUCAGUAAAUAGUCAACUUUACUUCGACUCUGUCUUCAUUUGCUCUGGUUUAACCAGGUGUUAAGUCAGAGUUUCAACACACUGCACAACAACACUACAGCACUAAUGUUAAUACCCGUAAUUACAGCAAAAAUAAGGAUGUUUACGGCCUGGUUUGACAUAACAUUAUUCGUACACACUGUUGUCUUAAUCAUUCCUCUGAUUUUGGCUAAUAUGUAAGCAUUAAUGUUAAUAACUUGGAGAAUGGCAAAGUUGACUGUUGCAUAGUCAAUCGUCUCUCCUCACAUUUACAUCCACUGUAUUCUCAGUAAAGACCAAACGCUGUAUGAUUGACUUCUUUAUGCAAACAACAGAUAUUGUACUGAUUAUAUUUCACAGUAUAGCACACAUGCAUUAGUAUGUGGCAAAUAAUUUCCUAUCAUACAAUCUGUUGUUGCACUCCAAACUCUAGUGUAGUGCUGUGAGGCUGCAAUCAUGGAGUGUAACCAUGGCGAUAUUACCCAGUCUCAAAGCUCUGCAUAUAAAGUUGGCAGCCAGACUUCCACAAAGCAAAUGUCAAUCAGCUCACAACCUGUAUUGACGGUUGGCGCGGCUUCAGACGCCGUAACUUUAUUUUCUUACAGGCGGACUGCGAGGGGUGGAAAAUCAUUACAAAACAAGUCAACGGAGUGACUUUCAAAUCAUGAUUAAAUUAUUCCUAAUCAAUGUAGAAAAUGAGACAAAGAGAAUUGAUUGAUAAAUAGAUUCUUCAGGGAUUUUAAACAUUUAAAACUCUUUAAAUUUGUAAAUGUUUUCAGCGAUUCAGUUUGUUUCAUAAUCAGAAGAAAUUGAAUGAAAUUUAUUUGAAUAAUUAUCCUUUUGUUUGGUUGCUUUUGUCAAACAGCUAGAACAAACAGUGCUGCUGUAAUCGUUAUUUAAAAGUCCAGGUUUUUCUACAGAUUAAAUAUAAAUAACACUCGUUACUAUGUCGAAAUAAGUGUUAAAAAAAAGGUGCUUUUUGUCCUCAGGGGCCACCAUCCCUUCAUCAAAGAAGGGGUGAGCGUGUUCACGAGAUAUUUCUGCAUAAAAGUUUAUUAAAACUGGUUAUAAGUCUUUGAUUUUCCAGGUAUCUGUAAGCCGAGAUGAGGGAAACAGCUUUUCUUUAGCUUCUUAAAAAAUAAAGGAGUUAAAGACGAACUUACACUCUCAGCCAUAUGGUCGUCUCUUACAGGAUCACACUCUCCUCCUCGCUCUGAGUUCACGCACAAACACUUACAGAGUGAAAAUAGAGUGAAAAGCAGCCACACCUCCGUUUGAACAACUGACGGCCAAACAUGAGACCGAAGAGUAAAAAAGUUCAACAUAUGUUCGAGUUUUCAGGAACUUUUUGAGAACUUUAGUUUCUCAAAAAUCCAGUUUAUUAAGAAAAGGUGUAAAUCUUCAUCUUUAAAUGUGUUUAGAAAAGAAAUGAUUUAGGGGUCUCUGUACAACAGUGGAGUUAUUGAUUUUUGUUUGCAGCGUCUUGCUCUUGUAUCGUAAUUUGCAGACGAUCCCUGCGCAGAGAGAUCGGUAUUAUUCAUCCAGUUCGAAAAACGGCUUGUUUUUGUAAAACAAAUCGGUUUUUGAUUCUUGUAGCUAGUAGUCUGAGCUAUUACGACAUUAAAGAGGUAUCGUUUGUGUUUAGACAACGUUUCGUCUCAGAGUUAUUGAUCCCAGAAGUCCGAAUCUGUGAAUAUCUUUCCAACUUUACUGAACUUUUUCCCACUGCUGCCGUUUAUAAGCUUUCCGGCGCACGACACACAAAAACAAGCU